GAGGGGGGGGGGGGGGGGGGGGCAGCCACCCUUAUAACUGGCUUUCUUCAUGGUUCUCUAAAAAUUAAGGCUUUCCUUGCGAGACGAGAAUCUUCACCAUCUGAAUCAUGACGCUUUUGUCCCUUUGGAUUUGGAUGUGGGUUGGAUGCGGAACCAUCAUCUGGGCAGCUCCUGAAUGUUUAAAGGAACAACACCAGACUCUUGGGUCCCUCAGAAUAAAAAGCAUCCAUUCGUUCAAUUGGCAAAUUCCCAGUACAACAGCAGCGCUUUUGUCCCUUUGGAUUUGGAUGUGGGUUGGAUGCGAACCAUCAUCUGGGCAGCUCCUGAAUGUUUAAAGGAACAACACCAGACUCUUGGGUCCCUCAGAAUGAAAAGCAUCCAUUCGUUCAAUUGGCAAAUUCCCAGUACAACAGCAGGUCAGGACAUUGAGUUGGUUGACACAUACAGAUUCCUUGGUGUCUAUGUCAACAACAAGCUGGACUGGAAGCUCAACUCAGAGGCUGUAUACAAGAAAGGGAU
Molecule: long non-coding RNA, 519 nt
Organism: Ictalurus punctatus (channel catfish)
Lineage: Eukaryota; Metazoa; Chordata; Actinopteri; Siluriformes; Ictaluridae
Source: Ensembl